AAGUGGAGGACAUGUGCCUCUUCCUCUCACCCCUGAUUGUUUUGUUGGCCUCCUCCUCUGGUCCAGAUCAUGUGCUGUAGACCCUGGUCCUCGGUCACAUGCUCGUGUGUAUGAUGACGAAGGGAGCGGCCAUGUAGGUGACGUUCAACCGGCUGGAACACAGUGAUAAACAAACAGAUUCUGGGGCCUUUUCCUUCCAGGCCACGGUGAGGAGCUCUGUCUGCCAGCCCUGGUCUCGGCUUUGGCUCUGCUCCCACACUGGCCAUAGCAACACUCCAGUCUCCCACCAUAGCGGCACACACCUGGUUGGUUUCCAGUAAGGACUUGUCGGUAGUGCCUUUGUAGAUGAAGAGAGAGAGAGAGUAGAAGGCAAACAGCAGAAAGCCUGUCAGAACACAGUUCUCAAUGGAUGGUAUGCAGCCUCACCCAGCAGUAAAGGAUCUAAUGCUCCUUACAUUUGUGAGCAUGCAGGGCCUCAGGGCAUGUUCCAGAAAUCAGCCUCAACAGGCCAAGUAGUACAUUGUUCAUCUCCGAUUACAGCCCAGG
Long non-coding RNA from Pleuronectes platessa (European plaice), 546 nucleotides. RefSeq lists it as uncharacterized. NCBI's taxonomy places the organism in Eukaryota, Metazoa, Chordata, Actinopteri, Pleuronectiformes, Pleuronectidae. The transcript has 4 exons. The record is from RefSeq and is a predicted model, not a curated record.